This 465-nucleotide ribosomal RNA is filed under the name uncultured bacterium. Its description in RNAcentral is "partial 16S ribosomal RNA". It matches the Rfam family "Bacterial small subunit ribosomal RNA", at positions 28 to 507 of the family's 1533-position model. The record is from RNAcentral.
GACGAACGCUGGCGGCGUGCUUAACACAUGCAAGUCGAACGGAAAGGCCCUGCUUGUGGGGUACUCGCGUGUCGAAAGGGUGUGUAUCACGCGGGUGAUCUGCCCUGCACUUUGGGAUAUGCCUGGGGAACUCGGUCUAUUACCGGGGAGGAGCCCUCCUUCGUGUGAUGGUUGGAUGGUAUUUUCGGUUUAGGAUGAGUUCGCGGGCUAUCAGCUUGUUGGUGGGGUAAUGGCCUACCAACGCGGCGACGGGCUGGCGGCCUGGGGGGGUGGACGGCCACAUUGGGGAUGGAGAAAGGCCCAAGCUCCUACGGGGGGCAAGAAGGGGGAAUAUUGCACAAUGGGCGGGAGGCUGAUGCAACGACGCCGCGGGGGGGAAUACGGGCUUCGGGGUGGAAACUCCUUUCGCUAGGGACGGAGCUUUUUGCGACGGUACCUAGAUAAGAAGCACCGGCUAACUACGUG